GUCAGCAGCUACUGAACAACAUCAUACUUCCGUUAAACGUUAGUCUUGACUGGCAGACCAAUACGGUACACGGUAAUUGCUGGAGUGUACCUUAAUCCUUGCAUCCUGGCAUCCUGCAAACUCAUAAGGACAAGCUGAGAGACUUUGCGUUUCGUCGAAACCAAUGGAAGACGUUCUCAACAUAUCGCUUGUUUUGGUAUAGAACGGGUUAACAGGAUCGAACGACACGCCAAGCAUGCACAUGAUCAAAUAUGGCGGAGGAAAGGCUAAUUGCAGGAAGCUGCCAUUUUUUUAAAGCAUACGGAGCAGACGGCAUCAUCUCUCGCAGUGUAAUGAUAUCUCGCAACGAUGUGUCUUCUCUAUUCAGGAGUCGAAAAGACGAAAGUCUGUCAGGACAACUUAUAAGCUUGGCUUCCGGCUACAGUAAACUGGUUUGCACUAGCUAUUCAGUUGACUCAUCAAGAAUAUGGGAACGCAACAGGCACAGUAUCAGUUGGGGCGGCGAUAACCAGUCAGCGUCCACACAGCAAGCAACGCUAGUCCUAGCGGCAGCAGUAGGAGAUAAAUCGGAUAGCUGAAUCAUGAACUUCAUCGUUUUGCGUUUUAUCGCUGGUUGCGUUUUACGUCGGCUCCACCGUCAGUCUGUGAGUACGAGUUGACACCUCCCGCCGAGCCCAACUGUCCGCUGGUCGUACGCGCGGGAUAAGAUUUCGAAUGAAAACACAGACCCGAACCCGAACAGGGUCCUAUAGCGUACGACUGAUCGUUCUGUCCGUCUACCCUGCCCGGUUAUCAGCCCCCCUGCUAGAUUGAUUUGAAGUGCACAGCCGGUACGGCGGCGGUAAUACUGGCGUAAGCCGUAGAAAGUAGCCAGGGACCGAACGACGAAACGCGGAUGUCAACAGGAUCAAUGGAAUCCGAAUUGUUUAUUGGGGACCACUAGUGAGCGGAGCAGUGCAGCGUAUGCUACAAAAUCCCAUAGUCUCUUCAAGUCGUUUUAAUGAAGUAAAUUGAGACGAAACGUUCGUUUGAUUCAGAUGGCGCUAAACACUGUGCAACUGAACGCUUCACUCGGGCCAAAAUGAACUACGCUACAGGAAAUCGUUAGUCAUAUGAUUGACCUAGAAACACGACCAAAUUAGAUUGCCACCUUAUCUCGUGAAGCACUUGCUCUCUUCUAUGAAAGACUUCGAUGUUAAAAGCUAGCAGUGUUUCCUUUUUCUUUUUCCCAAUAUCAAAUACAGACGAUUUUCAAAGAAAACGUAAGAAAGAGAAAGCCACUUUCUAAUUGGAUAAAACGCUUCGUGUCAGCAACUCUCCACCACAGGGCACAUAUUUGGAGCGAAAUCUGCAUUCACGACACCUAUCGUGGGUCACGAUACAAUCGGGCCUUGGUGUUCCCUGUGGGAGCCACAGCUGCUUCCUACAGCUACCAAGCUUACCCUGGUCCACGACUGCGCCUGGUCAUCUGAAACAUGUGGCUAUGUGUGUAAGCAGUUAAAACGACAUUUAGAGAAAAUUAGUUACCGAACUAUAUAACGACACAGCGUUUACCCUACAAUACCUUAGAUACGAUGUGGACGUACUACACAUACAAUCAUUGACGAAAGAAGCUUGAGUUUAUAAUUAUAUUUACUUGUUAAUGGUCUGUGUUCGUUAAUCACUUCGUCAAAACGUGUUUUUUUUUAUUCACGUAAACCGACACGCCUACCUAUGUGUGCGUGACAGACUAUCACAGUCAUGCCAAAUGUAUGUCUAGCAAUCACAUGUCAGUUACGAAGCACAAAAGCGAUGAAAGUUCUGCACCGCAGUAAGUUCACAUUGAAACAGUGUCCAUAAAGAUUUGCACGCAUCUCAGUUAACGCCAUUAACGUUAAUAACGCCGAGAUCGUUACUCCCUGUGUCGUAACGAUCACAAUUAAUUACAACAAUGUGUACAAUUUCCUACUAGUAACCCCGUUUAUUUAGUUAAUGACCCAUUUUUUACUACACCUAUAUAGCGAGUGUUAUCCAGUACUACCGUGACAUCCUCCCUAAUCGAGUCACAAUGUCGGAGCUGUUGUACUAUCUUUGUGACCCAAUUGUUGCAGCAUCAGCCUGUUUUCGUAGCAAAUUUAAUAAUUUCAUUACCUUACUUACCAACUGUUUAAUUAAAAAGACUCAGGUAUUUUGCUAUUAAUGUUCGAGACUCUGUAAUAUAAGUUUCGUUCUAAUUCCGUGCUCGCACUGUAAUUAAGCCGUCAGUACGCUACCAUCAACACGUUGCGCACUUGUAGCUCCUCGGUUACUUCACGAUACGCCAAGGUGAUCUUAUUUAAGAAGUUCAAUGCGAAUAUAGAUAUUUUUUGUAAGUUCUCAAGCUAUUCUAUUUCAUGUAUCACAAUCAGUAGCGACGGCGGCAAAAAGUACAAAAGUAGUUAUUACCACCAGUCUAGUGUUUCUUUUGUAGAGAAAACAACAGCCGAGGGACUUCAUGGGGAAAAAUAUCUAAUUCGGUACGUAUAGCCUGUAGCAAAAAAAAAAUCGAAGCAACCUUAAAGCCCCAAAAAAUCGUCUUUUCCCCACUUAUAUUUUUGUGUACUGAAGUUUUUAAUGUUUUGGUGUAAAAGAUACCUUCCUGCCGCUUUCUUUCGGCCCGCUUCCUCGAUAGGCGUUAUGCAAGAAAAGCGUCUAGUGUCCUUUUCGAGCCUGAUAGCACAUACAUAUCUCCUACACUAACGUAGGAAUGUGUCAUAAGAUUUCGUUCUGCUUCAAACUAGCCAGACGUAAGUCUACUUUUGUGCUACCUAACGCAAGUUGCUUAAAGGGAGCCAGGUAUGAUAUGGUUGAACCGAACGCAAAUUAACAGUCUAUAAGAUAAAUAGCCUUCAGCUAGACUACACGAUCGUAUUCUACCAGAUCGCAAUCGGACCUAUGUUAUCUUUAUUUCCAAAUUAUAUAUAUAAAUAUAAAGAAAUUUAUAAAUAAAUAAAAAAAAAAAAAAAAAAAGAUCUAAAGCCAAAUGUUGUAAAAUGUGAUAGAUUUCAAGGUUAAAGGCAAAAAGGUAAUUCAUGUUUUCCAGAUAUUUCGAAGUUGUGCCAGAUAUUCAAGUUAUGCUAUAUUACAACCUCAUUACUCAUAGCAACGUCCUGCCUGUGUCGAUCGAGGCUAUUUGAUUUAGGAAGGGAACCAUUGGCUCAAAUUAAAUUGGCUUACUUUGAGGAAGUCAACAAUUUAAUACUGUACUCAUUCAUACCCGAAGACCUUGGUCCUUAAAAUGGGUCAGAGGAAGGUCAUUAGUAACCGAAUUCGCUUAGCGCAUGCCCGAUUUCGCCACUAGUAACAGAAAUGUGUUUUGAAACCAAUACCAAUUUCGAAUUGUUCUAAAAACUAAAUAAACUACUUUGUUUGUCACUUUUAAAUCUGACCUAUUUGACAAGAAUUGACUUCAUUUCACCGUAGAGGAUAGGUUUCACUUUCAGAACACCCGAUCCGCCGCGUCGCAGAUCGCUAGUCAAUCCACCGAACGCUUUUCGAAAUUUCACUCAAAGCCCGCCGAUCGCUAUAACAUCCAAUCCACCCAUUCGCAUAAUGAAUGUAUCACACAACGUAUUAGCUCGUAUUCGCAUUUUAAAGAAACUGCGAUUUUAGUGUUACGUGGCAGGGUUAUUUCAGUCUAAUUGAUAGCGUCUACAAGCCAAGCGAAGCUGGUGUUUUCUUUUGAUCGACAUCUCCAUAUUGUAUCGAAGCUCAUAACAAACGUCUCGAUAUUUUGCACGAAAAAAUACAAUGAUUAACAGUUCAAUUGGCUUUGCCUGUCCAUAUUUCUUUCUUUGGCGAGAAGGAUGUUAACAUGUCGGCACACACUUCCCUCGCAGUCGUUUUUCUCUAUCGGAACUGACACUCUGGCACUUCGUCGUCAAUUUGCGUAGAAAUCUGCCACGUUGUCUUCAUGCAGCGCAAUCAACAGCGGUGGCGGCAAAAAGUCGUUAUUACCACCAGUCACGUUCAUAAACGAGCCUCCCUAUCGCUUCGAACAGAAGGAUGGGGUGUCAGUAAAUUUGGUAUUUGAAUAAUACACAUUGGUGACAAAAUGAUCUUCUUAGACGUCAACUUCAAUCAACACGAUGCCAUAACUCCUGCAAACGGAUUACAGAUGUCCACUGCACGGCGGACAGUGGGUGGGCCGCGUGUCGAACAUUCACGAUCACCCCCUUUUCAAGGAACUACUCAACGUACCCGAUGUUUUCUCGUUGUAGGUUGCUAUCGAUAUUUGUGCCUUUUUAGCUAGAGUGAUCUGUAUGAAUAUGUGUGCGUCUAUCUAAAGUAUUGUUUUUUUACCAGUUAUUAAGCGCUGCAUGAAGCUCGUAUUGUGAUGCGGGCUUCUGGUUUGAGUUAUCUGUAGAUUUAUUAUUAUUAUUAUAAUAUUCGCGGUUAUUCAGCAUACUAUUUACCUGGCGGUUUUCGUUCUAGCUGCUGAUGCAAUUUCAGCGA
This is a long non-coding RNA of Varroa destructor (honeybee mite), 4473 nucleotides long. NCBI's taxonomy places the organism in Eukaryota, Metazoa, Arthropoda, Arachnida, Mesostigmata, Varroidae. The record is from RefSeq and is a predicted model, not a curated record.